RNAcentral lists this transfer RNA (77 nucleotides) under Occallatibacter sp. RNAcentral's name for it is "tRNA-Arg". It matches the Rfam family "tRNA". Rfam says of the family: Transfer RNA (tRNA) molecules are approximately 80 nucleotides in length. Their secondary structure includes four short double-helical elements and three loops (D, anti-codon, and T loops). Further hydrogen bonds mediate the characteristic L-shaped molecular structure. tRNAs have two regions of fundamental functional importance: the anti-codon, which is responsible for specific mRNA codon recognition, and the 3' end, to which the tRNAs corresponding amino acid is attached (by aminoacyl-tRNA synthetases). tRNAs cope with the degeneracy of the genetic code in two manners: having more than one tRNA (with a specific anti-codon) for a particular amino acid; and 'wobble' base-pairing, i.e. permitting non-standard base-pairing at the 3rd anti-codon position. Lineage: Bacteria; Pseudomonadati; Acidobacteriota; Terriglobia; Terriglobales; Acidobacteriaceae. The record is from RNAcentral.
GCUCCUGUGGCCGAGAGGAAUGAGGCAUCGAUCUUCUAAAUCGACAAACGCAGGUUUGAGUCCUGCCGGGAGCGCCA